CUUAGUAAGGCUAUCUAGCCGAUUGUAUAGACUAACAUAGAUGUUUAGUCUAGAGAGUACAGAGCUCAGAGUCAGUUCAAAUAAAAUAUUUAACUAAAAUGCUCCUCAAUUUCUCAAUUCUUCCCGGACAAGCAUCAUCCAGUUGAAUCGAACCCUAAUCCGAAUCAGCAUCAAUAGAACCCAUAAAUUGGUUUCUCAUGGAGUCGGGAAAAGACACAUAUAGUAUUUGCAGACAACGAGAAACGGUCAACAGUUAUUUGCGAGCUCUGAUUUUGAUUCAUUCUAAAUAAAAGUUGAGAUUGAUCAGAAAGAGCUAUUCUUCGAGCUGUAAUCUGUUAGAUCAGAUGCUUACCAAGCCUGUGCCGUCGCUCUUUACAAUCUAAAGCAAGCCUCUUCAAAGCUCUGGGAGAAUGUGGGGAUCUGACAAUAGUUUUUAAUUCGCGUAUUAGCUGCCGUAUAAUUUGAAGGACUCUACUUGUUAGACCUGUCAUUGUCCUUACUAUGUAUUGGCAUGACUGCAGAAUUGCCAAAAAUAUACUGUUCCAUUCCA
Molecule: long non-coding RNA, 550 nt
Organism: Drosophila sulfurigaster albostrigata
Lineage: Eukaryota; Metazoa; Arthropoda; Insecta; Diptera; Drosophilidae
Exons: 3
Source: RefSeq, a predicted model, not a curated record